CAGUCGAACGAGGCUUCGGCCUUAGUGGCGCACGGGUGCGUAACGCGUGGGAAUCUGCCCCUUGGUUCGGAAUAACAGUUGGAAACGACUGCUAAUACCGGAUGACGACGUAAGUCCAAAGAUUUAUCGCCGAGGGAUGAGCCCGCGUAGGAUUAGCUAGUUGGUGUGGUAAAGGCGCACCAAGGCGACGAUCCUUAGCUGGUCUGAGAGGAUGAUCAGCCACACUGGGACUGAGACACGGCCCAGACUCCUACGGGAGGCAGCAGUGGGGAAUAUUGGACAAUGGGCGAAAGCCUGAUCCAGCAAUGCCGCGUGAGUGAUGAAGGCCUUAGGGUUGUAAAGCUCUUUUACCCGGGAUGAUAAUGACAGUACCGGGAGAAUAAGCUCCGGCUAACUCCGUGCCAGCAGCCGCGGUAAUACGGAGGGAGCUAGCGUUAUUCGGAAUUACUGGGCGUAAAGCGCACGUAGGCGGCUUUGUAAGUUAGAGGUGAAAGCCUGGAGCUCAACUCCAGAAUUGCCUUUAAGACUGCAUCGCUUGAAUCCAGGAGAGGUGAGUGGAAUUCCGAGUGUAGAGGUGAAAUUCGUAGAUAUUUCGGAAGAACACCAGUGGCGAAG
This 615-nucleotide ribosomal RNA is filed under the name Sphingomonas sp. RNAcentral describes it as "bacterial SSU rRNA". It matches the Rfam family "Bacterial small subunit ribosomal RNA", at positions 59 to 720 of the family's 1533-position model. The record is from RNAcentral. Lineage: Bacteria; Pseudomonadati; Pseudomonadota; Alphaproteobacteria; Sphingomonadales; Sphingomonadaceae.